UAACCUUCUUAGCACUUUUGGCUAAGAUCAAGUGUAGUACAGUAUCUGUUUUUAUCAGUUUAAUAUCUGAUAUGUUCUCUAAAUGAGGAUGUUAUAUUAAACAGAUGUUUAGAACAGGGAGCUGGAAUAGGGGCUUGCUCCUUCUGCUCCACACAUCAACCUGCUAUUGUAGUACCUCCAGGAAUGGUACUCUUGUU
This is a small nuclear RNA of Neoarius graeffei (lesser salmon catfish), 197 nucleotides long. RefSeq annotates it as U2 spliceosomal RNA. NCBI's taxonomy places the organism in Eukaryota, Metazoa, Chordata, Actinopteri, Siluriformes, Ariidae. The transcript has a single exon. The record is from RefSeq and is a predicted model, not a curated record.